UCGUGCUAGACGGGGAGCUAGCGGUGCCCUGAACCCGCAAUCCGCUAUAGCGGGGUUGAAUUCCCGCUUGAGGUUUUGGCGCCGUAGGGACUGCCCUUGAUAAGUAGUGAUGAUGGCCCGGCCCUGCGCGGCGAGGCGCCGCGAACCCCGUCAGGCCCGGAAGGGAGCAGCGGUAAGUGGUAAGUUUCGGGCGCCGCAGGCAAACCGAGCCGGAGCCGGCUGUCGGGGUAAGCCUAUGAGCCCGAAUCGACAGCGGGUGCACGA
This 264-nucleotide signal recognition particle RNA is filed under the name Chloroflexi bacterium RBG_16_64_32. Its description in RNAcentral is "signal recognition particle sRNA large type". It matches the Rfam family "Bacterial large signal recognition particle RNA". From Rfam's summary of the family: The signal recognition particle (SRP) is a universally conserved ribonucleoprotein involved in the co-translational targeting of proteins to membranes. Archaeal SRP consists of a 7S RNA and homologues of the eukaryotic SRP19 and SRP54 proteins. Lineage: Bacteria; Bacillati; Chloroflexota. The record is from RNAcentral.